CCCGCUGAACUUAAGCAUAUUACUAAGCGGAGGAGAAGAAAUUAACAAAGAUUACCUUAGUAAGGGCGACUGAACCGGUAAGAGCUCAAAAUUGGAAUCGAAAAUUCAAAGAAUUUUCGAAUUGUAAUCAGGUUCACCUAAAUACGAAAACUCGCUUAAGUACGUCGAAUCGUGCGCCAUGGAGGGUGAAAGCCCCGUGUAGCGUUUUUUCGAGUAAGGUGCGCCCCACAAGAGUCGGGUUGCCUGGAACUGCAGCCCUAAGCGGGAGAUAUGAAUCUUCCAAAGCUAAAUAUGGAUGGGAGACCGAUAGCGAACAAGUACUGUGAAGGAAAGAUGAAAAGGACUUUGAAAAGAGAGUGAAAAGAUCUGAAAUCGUUGAGAAGGAAGCGGUAGAAACUGAUGGUCGUGCUGAUGGUUAUCGGGGGUCAAACUCCGUAGUACCUACCAGAGCGACGGGCAAAAUCAAGUAGAACGCAUCAAAAAAGGCUUUAGCCGAGUAAGGUGUGAUCUGCUUGAGGGACAACUGUGGUUUUGCCAAAAUGGUUUCUACUGUCCCGUCUUGAAACACGG
RNAcentral lists this ribosomal RNA (570 nucleotides) under uncultured fungus. RNAcentral's name for it is "eukaryotic LSU rRNA". It matches the Rfam family "Eukaryotic large subunit ribosomal RNA", at positions 24 to 664 of the family's 3401-position model. The record is from RNAcentral. Lineage: Eukaryota; Fungi.